UCCGUAGGUGGCAAUCGUUGUCCGGAUUUACUGGGUGUAAAGGGCGUGUAGGCGGGAUAGCAAGUCAGAUGUGAAAUUCCGGGGCUUAACCCCGGCGCUGCAUCUGAAACUGUUAUUCUUGAGUGUCGGAGAGGAAAGUGGAAUUCCCAGUGUAGCGGUGAAAUGCGUAGAGAUUGGGAGGAACACCAGUGGCGAAGGCGGCUUUCUGGACGAUAACUGACGCUGAGGCGCGAAAGCGUGGGGAGAAAACAGG
RNAcentral lists this ribosomal RNA (253 nucleotides) under uncultured bacterium. RNAcentral describes it as "partial 16S ribosomal RNA". It matches the Rfam family "Bacterial small subunit ribosomal RNA", at positions 524 to 776 of the family's 1533-position model. The record is from RNAcentral.